RNAcentral lists this ribosomal RNA (253 nucleotides) under uncultured bacterium. Its description in RNAcentral is "partial 16S ribosomal RNA". It matches the Rfam family "Bacterial small subunit ribosomal RNA", at positions 524 to 776 of the family's 1533-position model. The record is from RNAcentral.
UACGUAGGGUGCGAGCGUUAAUCGGAAUUACUGGGCGUAAAGGGUGCGCAGGCGGUUUUGUAAGCCAGAUGUGAAAGCCCCGGGCUUAACCUGGGAAUGGCAUUUGGGACUGCAAGGCUAGAGUGUGGCAGAGGAGACUGGAAUUCCUGGUGUAGCAGUGAAAUGCGUAGAUAUCAGGAGGAAUACCGAUGGCGAAGGCAGGUCUCUGGGCUGACACUGACGCUCAUGCACGAAAGCGUGGGGAGCAAACAGG